Long non-coding RNA from Hyla sarda, 416 nucleotides. RefSeq lists it as uncharacterized. The transcript has 4 exons. The record is from RefSeq and is a predicted model, not a curated record. NCBI's taxonomy places the organism in Eukaryota, Metazoa, Chordata, Amphibia, Anura, Hylidae.
CCACUCUUCCUCUGCACAGGUUUUGAUAAAUCUCCCCCAUUGACUUCACAGGGAUGCCUGCAGAGCUUUGAUUCCUGGUCGAGGAAACCUCUUAAGACUCUAACAGUACAACAAGUCUACACAGAAACCUUCGCCUGAAGUGGACACCAUUUCAUGACCAGCUUGUAAGGAUAUAAUAGAGCCUUUUCUACAAGUUAGAGGAGACAACAUCAAAAUGUGGAGCUUUUAAGAAAAAAACAGCUUUCUUCAUGCAGGAGUGGCACGACACCUUUAAUGGUUACAGGCCCAUGUGACACCAUUCGGCCUCCAGCCCUAGCAUCUCCUCUGCAGUGGAUAAGCCAUUCCAGUCAACUGCAGGUCAACUUGACUCACUUUCACAUUUUAUAGCUCCAUCAACCAAAAUAAAGUAUCUCAGG